CGUGCGCUGGCACACACGCGGUGUGCACCCUAUGCCAGCCGUCCUUCGGAGCCCUUUACAAAUAUUAACUCACUUAAGUUCAGCACUCCAUGAGAGCGGAAGCGAUCUUAUCCCCAUUUCGCGGGUGAGGGGAUGGAGGCCAGAGAGGUGGAGUUACUUGCCGGGUCCCGCAGCUAGCAAGCGGCAGAGCCCUGGAAUCUCAGGCUAACGGGUGGCCCAGAGACCAUCUCCAGCAGCCGUCGGGCUCCCAGGGUGUGUUCCCGGCACAGCUGAGGACGCCACGAGGGCGCACGCUAUUCCCUCACCUGCAGUCGAGAGGACGAUCCACGUUUUGUAAAUGUAAAAUCUGCUGCGUCGUCAAGAUGGAGGAGUGAGUUAGUGGCCAAGGUGGCCUCGGUUCCUGAAACCCCGGGGCAGCCCACAGGCCCUCGCCGUUCAUGAGGCUUUAAAUCCACAAUAUACACCAUCUUGGUGUUCUGGGAACGUCCCGGCCCACUGUAGGGAAAGUGUGGGCUCCGGCAGAGGUGGGCUGGAGCCCCAGUUCGGCCGUUCGGGGGCUGUGUGACCUGGCACCUCCUCCUGGCCAUCUGUCCGGUGGAUGGUGGCCGUCCCAGCCUGGCAGGGUGUCUGUGGCGGAGCCCACGGCCUUUGCCCCGGCGCAGAGCGUGCUGGGAGCCGGCCGUCCACACGCAGCUUGCCUGCUCUCCUCCACGUCCCUGGGGCCACCUCGGUGCGGAGACCAGCUCUGGGCCCGGAAAGGCUUUGAAAGAAGAAGAAGAAAUAGUUCCCAAAUGCUCAAAAUGCCUCUGUCCUGCAGCCUCCCCGCCCAUUUCCAGAUCGUGAAAUAGCCACCCUAGCCAGGGGCUCCUCCGGCACCUGCCGCAUCCACGCGGGCGGGGAGUUAGCCCCCGGGAAGCCGUGUCCUGGGGGCGCCACCGCCUCGGCUCGGGCCUGCAAUCAGCUGGAGCCGGAGUGGCCGCCUGCCGGGAGACAUUCUGGCCCAGACAUCUGAAGCUCGUUAGCGGCCUGCUCCUCGGGGGGCUGACCCUGCUCCGUGAGAAUUAUCCGAGACAGAGCCACAGAGGAUGGAGCAAACGAAGACCAGCUAUUCCCUGAGGAAUAAGCCUUGACAGCAGAUCCUGGAAGACAGCCUUAAACCGGAGACUGGGAAGGCCUGGCGUCUCUUCCGGAACAGCACAGCUUCCUCCCAAACGGAACUGUUUAAAUGCAAGAUAUAGUAGGAAAUAUUCCCAGCUAGGAGUUCAGAGCCUGCAAUCAACCCUGCCUGAGGUCCCAGGAUGGUGAUCAUCUGCAAGUUGGAACGUGGGCCCUCACCAAGAACCAAUCUUAUCAUCUUGACCUUGGACUUCCCAGCAUCCAGAUCUGUGUUUUGUUAUAGCAGCCUGAGCAGACAAAGCCACAUAUGAACAAGGGUAAUAUUCCCUCCCCUGAUGAUUGUUGAUAAGCCCUCAGUGCCAUUCUGGGCACAGGAGGGCUCUGAACUGUUAAGGGCAUAGCUAGAGGUGGUACAGUCUCCUCUUAGCUGUUGGGCCCUUGCUAAACAGCACCUUCAUGUCAGAAUAAAAUGCAACUAUAGAUAACUAUU
Long non-coding RNA from Canis lupus familiaris (dog), 1606 nucleotides. RefSeq lists it as uncharacterized. The record is from RefSeq and is a predicted model, not a curated record. NCBI's taxonomy places the organism in Eukaryota, Metazoa, Chordata, Mammalia, Carnivora, Canidae. The transcript has 3 exons.